UACGGAGGGUGCAAGCGUUAUCCGGAUUCACUGGGUUUAAAGGGUGCGUAGGUGGGUUGGUAAGUCAGUGGUGAAAUCUCCAAGCUUAACUUGGAAACUGCCGUUGAUACUAUCUGUCUUGAAUAUUGUGGAGGUGAGCGGAAUAUGUCAUGUAGCGGUGAAAUGCUUAGAUAUGACAUAGAACACCAAUUGCGAAGGCAGCUCGCUACACAUAUAUUGACUCUGAGGCACGAAAGCGUGGGGAUCAAACAGG
RNAcentral lists this ribosomal RNA (253 nucleotides) under uncultured bacterium. RNAcentral describes it as "partial 16S ribosomal RNA". It matches the Rfam family "Bacterial small subunit ribosomal RNA", at positions 524 to 776 of the family's 1533-position model. The record is from RNAcentral.